Molecule: ribosomal RNA, 577 nt
Filed under: uncultured bacterium
Lineage: Bacteria
Description: partial 16S ribosomal RNA
Rfam family: Bacterial small subunit ribosomal RNA
Source: RNAcentral
UGGGGAAUAUUGGACAAUGGGGGCAACCCUGAUCCAGCCAUGCCGCGUGUGUGAAGAAGGCCUUUUGGUUGUAAAGCACUUUAAGCAGGGAGGAGAGGCUAAUGGUUAAUACCCAUUAGAUUAGACGUUACCUGCAGAAUAAGCACCGGCUAACUCUGUGCCAGCAGCCGCGGUAAUACAGAGGGUGCGAGCGUUAAUCGGAAUUACUGGGCGUAAAGCGAGUGUAGGUGGCUCAUUAAGUCACAUGUGAAAUCCCCCGGGCUUAACCUGGGAACUGCAUGUGAUACUGGUGGUGCUAGAAUAUGUGAGAGGGAAGUAGAAUUCCAGGUGUAGCGGUGAAAUGCGUAGAGAUCUGGAGGAAUACCGAUGGCGAAGGCAGCUUCCUGGCAUAAUAUUGACACUGAGAUUCGAAAGCGUGGGUAGCAAACAGGAUUAGAUACCCUGGUAGUCCACACCGUAAACGAUGUCUACUAGCCGUUGGGGUCCUUGAGACUUUAGUGGCGCAGUUAACGCGAUAAGUAGACCGCCUGGGGAGUACGGCCGCAAGGUUAAAACUCAAAGGAAUUGACGGGGUCAU